AAGGAUUCCCCUUUUGUAUUGUUGGCAUUACAAGAGGGAUACGACAGCAAAGUAGGGGGCCUUGCGGAUUUUCUUAAGACAUAUAAACGAGUGGUUGAGACGUUCUAUUGGAGAGGUAUGAAAAAGGAUCAUUCGGGCUUACGUAGCAACUUCUGCAAUCUGCAGAACAAGUACUCAACUUUGACACCUGCAGGGCUGCUCCAGCCAUUGUCCAUACUAGAAAAGGUGUGGGAUGACAAAAACAUGGACUUCAUCGAAGGAUUGCCAAAGUCUGAAGGGUUUGAUUCAAUCUAGGUGGUCGUGGAUUACUUAAGCAAAUACGGUCACUUUAUAGGUCUAAAAUAUCUUUUCUCAGCACCGUCUGUGGCUACAAUUUUUGUAAAGGAGGUCGAUCGACUGCACGGCAUGCUACGCUCAAUUAUCUCGAAUUGUGAUAAGGUUUUCGUCAGCAAAUUUUGGACUGAGCUCUUUCGAUUGCUAGGCACAAAACUGAAGAUGAGUUCGACCUAUCAUCCAUAAACUGAUGGUCAAACAGAAGUAGUCAAUAGGAAAAUAGAAACUUAUCUGCGCUACUUCGCGUCCAACAGACCCAAGGAGUGGUUUCGAUUCCUAGCAUGGGCAAAAUUAUCUUACAAUACAUCCUUCCACGCGUCUGCUCAAUUGACUCCUUUUUGUAUCUUGUAUGGAUGGGAUCCACUACCGAUAAUUUGUUUUGAGAAAGGCACCAUCGUUGUUUCUUCAAUUGAUCAUCAGCUAGUUGAACGAGAUCAGUUAUUGGAGGAGCUUAAGAUACAGCUACUUUGGGCGCAAUGCAAGAUAAGGCCCAUUGCUGACCAAUAUAGGCGGUCGGAAGAUUUCAUAGUUGGUGAAUUGGUUUAUCUAAAAAUGCAUCCUUAUCAUCGAAAAUCCUUGGCUCGCCGUAUCAAUGAAAAGUUAGCACCCAGAUACUAUGGACCUUUUGAAGUACUAUCGAAGAUUGGAAAAGCGGCUUACAGACUGAAUCUCCCUCCUGAAUCACUUAUUCAUCCUAUUUUUCACGUUUUCUAGUUGCGAAAAGCCAUUGGAAAAUUCCAUUUGAUCACUCAAUUAUCAUAGCACUUGGGGGCUGAUUGGGAGCUAAUGGUGAAACCGGAGUUUAUCUUGGGAGUAAGGACUGAACCAUCAAGAAUUGUUAACAAGUUGGAAGUGCUUAUUAAUUGGUUCGGGUUGUCAUCUUUGGAAGCAACGUAGGAGCCCUUUGAUCUCAUUAAUUACCAAUUUCCUUCUUUCCGUCUUGCGGACAAGGUGACUGAAUUGGGAGGGGUAAUUGAUAGACCGCCAAUCAAAUACACCUAUUCUAGAAGGGUCAAGAAGACUAUGGGGCAGCAAUAGAAUUUGUUAAGCAAGGGCAAAGCUGGACAAAAAGUUGUUAUAUAGGGGUUGUAAAUAGAAUAGCUGCUUGGUAGUAGAGGUAUGGAAUUAAGUGAAAAGAAGUGAUAUUAGGAGAGCGUGGCCCUCUCGAAUGGCCUCUUAGCUUUUUCCUUGUUGGCUGUAAUUCCAUUUAAUCAAUACAGAUGUCUUUUCUGUACUUAUUCCAUUUUUUGUGUUUGUUGUUACGGUCAAACCUUAUCAAAUUACAUCUUUGCUGUGUCUGCCUCUGUAAU
This 1643-nucleotide long non-coding RNA is filed under the name Olea europaea subsp. europaea. Lineage: Eukaryota; Viridiplantae; Streptophyta; Magnoliopsida; Lamiales; Oleaceae. The record is from RNAcentral.